Molecule: ribosomal RNA, 253 nt
Filed under: uncultured bacterium
Lineage: Bacteria
Description: partial 16S ribosomal RNA
Rfam family: Bacterial small subunit ribosomal RNA
Source: RNAcentral
UACAGAGGUGGCAAGCGUUGCUCGGUAUCACUGGGCUUAAAGGGCGCGUAGGCGGUGCGGUGCGGUUUCGGUGAAAUCCCUCGGCCCAACCGAGGAACAGCCGGGGCUACGGCCGCGCUAGACGGCAUCAGGGGACAGUGGAACUCCCGGUGGAGCGGUGAAAUGCGUAGAUAUCUGGAGGAACACCGGUGGCGAAAGCGGCUCACUGGACCGUCUCUGACGCUGAGGUGCGAAAGCCAGGGUAGCGAACGGG